This 506-nucleotide ribosomal RNA is filed under the name uncultured bacterium. RNAcentral describes it as "partial 16S ribosomal RNA". It matches the Rfam family "Bacterial small subunit ribosomal RNA", at positions 29 to 523 of the family's 1533-position model. The record is from RNAcentral.
AGUGAACGCUGGCGGUAGGCCUAACACAUGCAAGUCGAACGGCAGCACAGAGGAGCUUGCUCCUUGGGUGGCGAGUGGCGGACGGGUGAGGAAUACAUCGGAAUCUACUCUGUCGUGGGGGAUAACGUAGGGAAACUUACGCUAAUACCGCAUACGACCUACGGGUGAAAGCAGGGGACCUUCGGGCCUUGCGCGAUUGAAUGAGCCGAUGUCGGAUUAGCUAGUUGGCGGGGUAAAGGCCCACCAAGGCGACGAUCCGUAGCUGGUCGGAGAGGAUGAUCAGCCACACUGGAACUGAGACACGGUCCAGACUCCUACGGGAGGCAGCAGUGGGGAAUAUUGGACAAUGGGCGCAAGCCUGAUCCAGCCAUACCGCGUGGGUGAAGAAGGCCUUCGGGUUGUAAAGCCCUUUUGUUGGGAAAGGAAUCCAGCUGGCUAAUACCCGGUUGGGAUGACGGUACCCAAAGAAUAAGCACCGGCUAACUUCGUGCCAGCAGCCGCCGUAA